Molecule: long non-coding RNA, 128 nt
Organism: Amblyraja radiata (thorny skate)
Lineage: Eukaryota; Metazoa; Chordata; Chondrichthyes; Rajiformes; Rajidae
Exons: 3
Source: RefSeq, a predicted model, not a curated record
UUGUAACCAGGGUGGAUCUCUGUGCCCGGUUGGAGAAUUGUUGAGUAUGCCGGUAGAUAGCCAGUCGGUAUCGAUAGUCCAGCUGGGGUCCGAACUGGGAGGUAGGGAACUGGAGCUGGAAGCCAUGA